This 253-nucleotide ribosomal RNA is filed under the name uncultured bacterium. RNAcentral's name for it is "partial 16S ribosomal RNA". It matches the Rfam family "Bacterial small subunit ribosomal RNA", at positions 524 to 776 of the family's 1533-position model. The record is from RNAcentral.
UACGGGGGGGGCAAGCGUUGUUCGGAAUUACUGGGCGUAAAGGGCUCGUAGGCGGCCAACUAAGUCAGACGUGAAAUCCCCAGGCUCAACCUGGGAACUGCGUCUGAUACUGGAUGGCUUGAAUCCGGGAGAGGGAUGCAGAAUUCCAGGUGUAGCGGUGAAAUGCGUAGAUAUCUGGAGGAAUACCGGUGGCGAAGGCAGCCCCCUGGGCUAACACUGACGCUCAUGCACGAAAGCGUGGGGAGCAAACAGG